GAAUGCCAAUGGUUCGAAGGUGCCCUCGCGCGCGUCAAGCGGCGGGGGUUAAACGGGAAACAGGUGCGCCGCGGCCACGCCGCGGCAAAUCCUGUGCUGCCCCCGCAACGGUCAGCAGGUACAAAGGUGUCACGCCGCGCCGGCAGGCAGCGGCAGCCACUGCGCAUCGAUGCGUGGGAAGGCGGCACCCCGGACGCGCCCCAGUGGCAGGCGUCCCCCUGCGAGCCCGGAUACCGGCCUUCGACCGAUCACCGAG
Molecule: non-coding RNA, 256 nt
Filed under: Cupriavidus sp.
Lineage: Bacteria; Pseudomonadati; Pseudomonadota; Betaproteobacteria; Burkholderiales; Burkholderiaceae
Source: RNAcentral